Molecule: ribosomal RNA, 531 nt
Filed under: uncultured Bacillota bacterium
Lineage: Bacteria; Bacillati; Bacillota
Description: bacterial SSU rRNA
Rfam family: Bacterial small subunit ribosomal RNA
Source: RNAcentral
AGAGUUUGAUCAUGGCUCAGGACGAACGCUGGCGGCAUGCCUAAUACAUGCAAGUCGAGCGGAAUGAUGAGAGCUUGCUCUCUGAUUUCAACGGCGGACGGGUGAGUAACACGUGGGCAACCUGCCCUACAGAUGGGGAUAACUCCGGGAAACCGGGGCUAAUACCGAAUAAUCAGUUUGUCCGCAUGGACAAACUCUGAAAGACGGUUUCGGCUGACACUGUAGGAUGGGCCCGCGGCGCAUUAGCUAGUUGGUGGGGUAAUGGCCUACCAAGGCAACGAUGCGUAGCCGACCUGAGAGGGUGAUCGGCCACACUGGGACUGAGACACGGCCCAGACUCCUACGGGAGGCAGCAGUAGGGAAUCUUCCACAAUGGACGAAAGUCUGAUGGAGCAAUGCCGCGUGAGCGAAGAAGGUUUUCGGAUCGUAAAGCUCUGUUGUAAGGGAAGAACACGUACGGGAGUAACUGCCCGUACCUUGACGGUACCUUAUUAGAAAGCCACGGCUAACUACGUGCCAGCAGCCGCGGUA